This 77-nucleotide transfer RNA is filed under the name Nitrospirota bacterium. RNAcentral describes it as "Nitrospirae bacterium (sediment metagenome) tRNA-Gln". It matches the Rfam family "tRNA". Rfam says of the family: Transfer RNA (tRNA) molecules are approximately 80 nucleotides in length. Their secondary structure includes four short double-helical elements and three loops (D, anti-codon, and T loops). Lineage: Bacteria; Pseudomonadati; Nitrospirota. The record is from RNAcentral.
GGGGAUGUAGCUCAAUUGGUAGUAGCGCCAGCCUCUGAAGCUGGAAGUUCUGGGUUCAAGUCCCUGCGUCCCUGCCA